CCGCCCGGCUUCGCUCCGCCUGCAGCUCCUGCCAGCACCGAACCGAAUUCAUCCUCUGGCAGUGCUUUACCUGAGGGUAAACGGAGACAAAUUCCUCUGUGGAUGCCUGCAGCUCCCCAGGAUCUGUACCCGACACAGAAGCAAUCUGCUCUGCAGCCAGGCUGACAGCACAUUCUGGUUCCCAGUUCAGAGACAUCCAACACAGCAGCACCAUUACCAUUCUUGGACCUACUCACCUCUCCAGCACAGGUAAAUGUCACACAUACCCCCAUUUUACAAGCAGAAAGCUGUGGCAUAGAGAGCAAAAGUCAUUCAGACAAGGUUUGGGGCAAAACAUGGAUUUUAAUCUAUGCAAAAGCUGUAGACAUUCUUCCUUCCCCAUCUCAGAAGGCAUC
Molecule: long non-coding RNA, 395 nt
Filed under: Coturnix japonica (Japanese quail)
Lineage: Eukaryota; Metazoa; Chordata; Aves; Galliformes; Phasianidae
Description: lncRNA (ENSCJPG00005019844.1)
Source: RNAcentral